CAACGCCGCGUGGGGAGUGAAGCCCUUCGGGGUGGUAAACUACCUUUCGUACCAAGAACGAUAAUGACGGUACUGGUGGAAGAAGCACCGGCUAACUCUGUGC
Molecule: ribosomal RNA, 103 nt
Filed under: uncultured bacterium
Lineage: Bacteria
Description: partial 16S ribosomal RNA
Source: RNAcentral